Molecule: small nuclear RNA, 100 nt
Filed under: Marmota monax (woodchuck)
Lineage: Eukaryota; Metazoa; Chordata; Mammalia; Rodentia; Sciuridae
Source: RNAcentral
UUGCUUUGGUGGCACAUAUACUAAAAUUGGAAGGACACAGAGAUUAGCAUGGUCCCUGCACAAGAAUGCUAUACAAAUUUGUGAAGCAUUCCAUAUUGUU